GUAUUUUCUUUGGCAGCACAUAUAUUAAAUUUGGAAUGAAACAGAGAAGAUUAGCAUGUCCCCUAUGCAAAGAUGACAUGUGAAUUCAUGAAGCAUUCCAUAUUUUU
This 107-nucleotide small nuclear RNA is filed under the name Choloepus hoffmanni (Hoffmann's two-fingered sloth). Lineage: Eukaryota; Metazoa; Chordata; Mammalia; Pilosa; Megalonychidae. The record is from RNAcentral.